Molecule: long non-coding RNA, 314 nt
Organism: Stegostoma tigrinum
Lineage: Eukaryota; Metazoa; Chordata; Chondrichthyes; Orectolobiformes; Stegostomatidae
Exons: 3
Source: RefSeq, a predicted model, not a curated record
GGUAUGUGAGGCUGUAGCUUGUAUCUGUCAUCUCGUAGAGCCUGCGAAAGUUGUGCUUUCAGGGGAAACGGAGAGCAGGGCGCAAGCAAAUUAACUUCAUGUGCCUGGAGCUCAGAAUUGCAGGCUGAACAAAAAUGCUGUAAUUGGAGGCACAAUGGGAAUUAUUCUUGGAAGUAACUGGAAUCAAAUCCAAGGAAUGUGCAAAAAAGGUAAAGAAGCUUUCGCUGAACGGUUUUCCUCUAGGACCCCCUCCAUUACACUAGUACGCCUUUCUCCCAGUUGGUGUACGUACCCCCUGGGUAACCCGGAGCGGC